CCUCGAUGCGGGGUACACAGGGAUGACAAGCGCCCCAGCAGCUCCCGCGUGCUAAGCGCGGGCGACGUGCAGGCGCAGUGCCAGGCGCGCUCCAGGCAUCCUCUCAUUUAACCCUCCCAGCCAAAGCCGUCGUCUCUCCCAUUCUAACUGAGGAGCUAUGCGAGGCUGGAGGAAGGGGCUUGGCCCAGGAGGCGACAGCUGGAGCGGGUGACUCGGAAAGGAGAACUGUCCCAUUUUACAGAUGAGGAACCCGAGGUCCGCAGGACACAAGUACCACAGCUCUCUUGUGAUGGAGGCAGGAUUUGAGGCCAGGCCUGCACCCAAGAAGGGAAUCCAGUGAGAGGACACCGGGCCCUGUGGCCAGCUAGAGCCUGCAAGAAGGUCAUUGCACCACAGUUGUACCAUCUGCUCUCAUAUAGAUGGCCUCUGGGUGUGUCCCGGCGUCUGCUAAAAUGAACAUUCGGGU
Long non-coding RNA from Myotis lucifugus (little brown bat), 466 nucleotides. RefSeq lists it as uncharacterized. The transcript is spliced from 3 exons. Lineage: Eukaryota; Metazoa; Chordata; Mammalia; Chiroptera; Vespertilionidae. The record is from RefSeq and is a predicted model, not a curated record.